This 254-nucleotide signal recognition particle RNA is filed under the name Saimiri boliviensis boliviensis (Bolivian squirrel monkey). RNAcentral describes it as "Metazoan signal recognition particle RNA (ENSSBOG00000007030.1)". It matches the Rfam family "Metazoan signal recognition particle RNA". From Rfam's summary of the family: The signal recognition particle (SRP) is a universally conserved ribonucleoprotein. It is involved in the co-translational targeting of proteins to membranes. The record is from RNAcentral. Lineage: Eukaryota; Metazoa; Chordata; Mammalia; Primates; Cebidae.
GCCAGGUGCAGUGGCGCGUGCCUGUAGUCCCAGCUACUCGGGAGGCUGAGGUUGAGCCCAGGAGUUCUGGGCUGUAGUGCGUUAUGUCAGUAGGGUGUCCGAACUAAGUUCAGCAUCAAUAUGGUGACCUCCUGGUAGCAGGAGACUACCACGUUGCCUAAGGAGGAGGGAACCUACCCAGGUCAGAGAUGAAGUGGGUCAAAACUCCCAAAUAGCCACUGCACUCCUGCCUGGGCAACAUAGCAAGGCCCCAU